Trifolium pratense (red clover) is the source of this 426-nucleotide long non-coding RNA. RefSeq lists it as uncharacterized. Lineage: Eukaryota; Viridiplantae; Streptophyta; Magnoliopsida; Fabales; Fabaceae. The transcript has 2 exons. The record is from RefSeq and is a predicted model, not a curated record.
CUAAGAGUUUGAUUUGAAGUUGAAAUGCAAAAAUUAGAGGUCGGAAGUCAGUAGCAGUUUUAUGCAAAAAUAUGUCGCGAGUUUGUAUAUGCGAGUGGCACCAUCGGAUGGCUCUAAGCGGGCGAUAUGGCUCGGUACUGCUAGCAAUUUCAGAUAAACAGGUUGAUCGAGAUAUCAUGGUCUACAAGCAUGGAGUUCAGAUACUUGGAUUAUGCUAGUUGAGCUGACGUCAUGUUAUCUUAUAUUUUGUAUAAGAUUUAGUUUCUUUAUGUUUUCGGUUGUUAGCUCAAUUUAGUAUUAAUCUCUUGAAUUUUGUAAUCCUAUUUAUGUAUUCGGACGAUAUGUAAUGAAAAUUUAAUGUUUCCCGAUUCAGUUAUGUACACUCUUGUUGAUAUUCUAGAUAAAUUGAUAUGGGGUGUUAUAAUA